This 292-nucleotide ribosomal RNA is filed under the name uncultured bacterium. Its description in RNAcentral is "partial 16S ribosomal RNA". The record is from RNAcentral. RNAcentral also lists the same sequence under 2 other names.
GGACUACACGGGUAUCUAAUCCCGUUUGCUCCCCUGGCUUUCGCGCCUCAGCGUCAGUAGAGGUCCAGCGCGUCGCUUUCGCCACCGGCGUUCCUUCCGAUAUCUACGCAUUUCACCGCUCCACCGGAAGUUCCACACGCCCCUACCUCCCUCGAGACGACCAGUAUCCAAGGCACUUCUGCAGUUGAGCUGCAGGAUUUCACCCCGGACUUUGCCGCCCGCCUACGCGCCCUUUAAGCCCAGUGAUUCCGAACAACGUUCGCACGGUUCGUCUUACCGCGGCGGCUGGCAC